CCGAAACUAAAGAUCCAUUGCGUGUGCAACCACACCUUAAGAAAUGUUUUGAAGGUAUUACUAAAUUGAAUUUUACAAAAAGUAUAGAAAUAGUGGGAAUGAUAUCUGCUGAUGGUGAAGUAGUUGCUUUUAAUGGAAUAAUUUAUCCUGCCGAUGCCAAA
Molecule: small RNA, 161 nt
Filed under: Cinara cedri
Lineage: Eukaryota; Metazoa; Arthropoda; Insecta; Hemiptera; Aphididae
Source: RNAcentral